This 253-nucleotide ribosomal RNA is filed under the name uncultured bacterium. Its description in RNAcentral is "partial 16S ribosomal RNA". It matches the Rfam family "Bacterial small subunit ribosomal RNA", at positions 524 to 776 of the family's 1533-position model. The record is from RNAcentral.
UACGUAGGGGGCAAGCGUUGUCCGGAAUUAUUGGGCGUAAAGCGCGUGUAGGCGGCUUGGUAAGUCCGUUCUGAAAGCCCGGGGCUCAACCCCGGGAGGCGGAUGGAUACUGCUGAGCUCGAGUCCGGAAGAGGCGAGUGGAAUUCCUGGUGUAGCGGUGAAAUGCGCAGAUAUCAGGAGGAACACCAAUGGCGAAGGCAGCUCGCUGGGACGGUACUGACGCUGAGACGCGAAAGCGUGGGGAGCAAACAGG